RNAcentral lists this unclassified non-coding RNA (276 nucleotides) under plant metagenome. RNAcentral's name for it is "partial contains small subunit ribosomal RNA, internal transcribed spacer 1, and 5.8S ribosomal RNA". The record is from RNAcentral.
UCUCCGUUGGUGAACCAGCGGAGGGAUCAUUACAGAGUUUAUUAUAACUCCUAAACCCAUGUGAACCUACCUUCUGUUGCCUCGGCAGGCAAGUCGUAUCUUGCUACCCUAUAGGACCCUAUCUUGUAAGACGUUACCUUAUAAGGUCCUAUCCGGUAGAGAGAUGCGGUACUACCUGCCGGUGGACUGAAAAAAAAAUUCUGUUUAAUAAAUGGUAUUCUGAAUCAUUAUAUGGAAAUUAAGUUAAAACUUUCAACAACGGAUCUCUUGGUUCUG